ACAUCCAAGGAAGGCAGCAGGCGCGCAAAUUACCCAAUCCCGACACGGGGAGGUAGUGACAAUAAAUACUGAUGCAGGGCUCUUUUGGGUCUUGUAAUUGGAAUGAGUACAAUUUAAAUCCCUUAACGAGGAACAAUUGGAGGGCAAGUCUGGUGCCAGCAGCCGCGGUAAUUCCAGCUCCAAUAGCGUAUAUUAAAGUUGUUGCAGUUAAAAAGCUCGUAGUUGAACCUUGGGCCUGGCUGGCCGGUCCGCCUCACCGCGUGUACUGGUCCGGCCGGGCCUUUCCUUCUGGGGAACCUCAUGCCCUUCACUGGGCGUGUUGGGGAACCAGGACUUUUACUUUGAAAAAAUUAGAGUGUUCAAAGCAGGCCUUUGCUCGAAUACAUUAGCAUGGAAUAAUAGAAUAGGACGUGUGGUUCUAUUUUGUUGGUUUCUAGGACGCCGUAAUGAUUAAUAGGGAUAGUCGGG
This 468-nucleotide ribosomal RNA is filed under the name fungal sp. RNAcentral describes it as "SSU rRNA". It matches the Rfam family "Eukaryotic small subunit ribosomal RNA", at positions 412 to 886 of the family's 1831-position model. Lineage: Eukaryota; Fungi. The record is from RNAcentral.